RNAcentral lists this ribosomal RNA (1457 nucleotides) under uncultured bacterium. Its description in RNAcentral is "partial 16S ribosomal RNA". It matches the Rfam family "Bacterial small subunit ribosomal RNA". The record is from RNAcentral.
AAUGAACGCUAGCGGCGUGCUUAACACAUGCAAGUCGUACGAGAACUCUUUAGCUUGCUAAAGAUAGUAAAGUGGCGCACGGGUGAGUAACGCGUGGGUAAUCUACCUCUGAAUUUGGGAUAACUCCGCGAAAGCGGGGCUAAUACCGGAUAAUAUUUCAGAAUCUUCGGGUUUUGAAAUCAAAAGUGGUCUCUACAUGUAAGCUACUGUUUGGAGAUGAGCCCGCGUACCAUUAGCUUGUUGGUAGGGUAAUGGCCUACCAAGGCUACGAUGGUUAGCUGGUCUUAGAGGAUGAUCAGCCACACUGGAACUGACACACGGUCCAGACUCCUACGGGAGGCAGCAGUGGGGAAUUUUGCGCAAUGGGGGAAACCCUGACGCAGCAACGCCGCGUGAGUGAUGAAGGCCUUCGGGUCGUAAAGCUCUGUCAAGUGGGAAGAAUCUGGGAAAUGCUAAUACCAUUUUUCACUGACGGUACCACUGAAGGAAGCACCGGCUAACUCCGUGCCAGCAGCCGCGGUAAUACGGGGGGUGCAAGCGUUACCCGGAUUUAUUGGGCGUAAAGCGUGCGCAGGUUUUUUGGUAAGUUAUGCUUCAAAGCCCAGGGCUCAACCUUGGAAAGGGGCAUAAUACUGCCAGAAUUGGAGAAUUUAGGGGCUACUGGAACUUAUCAUGUAGGGUGAAAUCCGUUGAUAUGAUAAGGAACACCGAGGGCGAAGGCAAGUAGCUGGGAAUUUCUCGACACUGAGGUACGAAAGCUAGGGUAGCAAAAGGGAUUAGAGACCCCUGUAGUCCUAGCCGUAACCGAUGCUCGCUAGCUGUAUGAAUUUAUUUAUGUGGCGCAAGCUAACGCGUUAAGCGAGCCGCCUGGGGAGUACGAACGCAAGUUUAAAACUCAAAGGAAUUGACGGGGACCCGCACAACCAGUGGAGCAUGUGGUUUAAUUCGAGACGAACCGAAGAACCUUACCUGGACUUGACAUGCUACUUAUUAGUUUUACAGAGAUGUAGAAUGAUCCUGCAUUUGUAGGAAGGUAGCACAGGUGUUGCAUGGCUGUCGUCAGCUCGUGCCGUGGGGUGUUCCCUUCAGUGGGGUAACGAGCGCAACCCUUGCCGUAUGUUGAAUAUUCAUACGGGACUAUCGAGUAUUUCUCGGAGGAAGUGGGGACGACGUCAAGUCAGCAUGGCCCUUAUGUCCAGGGCAACACACAUGCUACAAUGGAGCCGACAAUGGGUUGCCAAGCAGUAAUGCGGAGCUAAUCCCAUCAAACGGCUUCUCAGUGGGGAUUGAGGGCUGCAACUCGCCCUCAUGAACGUGGAAUUGGUAGUAAUCGCGAAUCAGCUAUGUCGCGGUGAAUACGUUCUCGGGUCUUGUACACACCGCCCGUCAAGUCAGCAAAGUUGGAGGCACCCGAACCUCGUAUAUUACGAGGGAAGGUGAAAUCAGCGAUGAGGAUU